AUUGAACGCUGGCGGCAGGCCUAACACAUGCAAGUCGAGCGCGAAAGUCUUCGGAUGAGUAAAGCGGCGAACGGGUGAGUAAUGCAUGGGCAUCUGCCUGGUAGUGGGGGACAACGUCUCGAAAGGGACGCUAAUACCGCAUACGCCCUACGGGGGAAAGGGGGGGAUCUUCGGACCUCUCGCUAUCAGAUGAGCCCAUGCCGGAUUAGCUAGUUGGGGGGGUAAAGGCCCACCAAGGCGACGAUCCGUAGCUGGUCUGAGAGGAUGAUCAGCCACACUGGAACUGAGACACGGUCCAGACUCCUACGGGAGGCAGCAGUGGGGAAUAUUGGACAAUGGGGGCAACCCUGAUCCAGCCAUGCCGCGUGUGUGAAGAAGGCCUUAGGGUUGUAAAGCACUUUCAGUGGGGAGAAAGGUGAUUCACCUAAUACGUGAGUCAAUUGAUGCUACCCACAGAAGAAGCACCGGCUAACUCCGUGCCAGCCGCCGCUGUAA
This 495-nucleotide ribosomal RNA is filed under the name uncultured bacterium. RNAcentral describes it as "partial 16S ribosomal RNA". It matches the Rfam family "Bacterial small subunit ribosomal RNA", at positions 30 to 523 of the family's 1533-position model. The record is from RNAcentral.